This 251-nucleotide long non-coding RNA is filed under the name Malus domestica (apple). RNAcentral's name for it is "long non-coding RNA (MDOM_LNC015553)". Lineage: Eukaryota; Viridiplantae; Streptophyta; Magnoliopsida; Rosales; Rosaceae. The record is from RNAcentral.
GACUCCUGUUGGUACCAUAUAUUGGGCCUCGUAUAUUUGGGCCUUGGGCCUUGUAUUUGGGCCUCACACUAAAGCCCAUACUUUGUAAAAGAGGAGGAGCCCCUUAUUCUAUAAAAGGGGACUCCUCCCCUCAUUCUAAAGGAGGCAAAAGAGCCAAGCCUAAGAAGGCUAAGAGAAGCUAUCAUUACAUUCAGGAGAGACCUCACACCACCGAGGCUCUCCUCUCCCUUCUCUUCUUUCUCCUCCGGGGG